UCCUACGGGGGGCAGCAGUGGGGAAUAUUGGACAAUGGGCGCAAGCCUGAUCCAGCCAUGCCGCGUGAGUGAUGAAGGCCCUAGGGUUGUAAAGCUCUUUCACCGGUGAAGAUAAUGACGGUAACCGGAGAAGAAGCCCCGGCUAACUUCGUGCCAGCAGCCGCGGUAAUACGAAGGGGGCUAGCGUUGUUCGGAUUUACUGGGCGUAAAGCGCACGUAGGCGGACUUUUAAGUCAGGGGUGAAAUCCCAGAGCUCAACUCUGGAACUGCCUUUGAUACUGGAAGUCUUGAGUAUGGUAGAGGUGAGUGGAAUUCCGAGUGUAGAGGUGAAAUUCGUAGAUAUUCGGAGGAACACCAGUGGCGAAGGCGGCUCACUGGACCAUACUGACGC
RNAcentral lists this ribosomal RNA (391 nucleotides) under Brucella pseudogrignonensis. RNAcentral describes it as "bacterial SSU rRNA". It matches the Rfam family "Bacterial small subunit ribosomal RNA", at positions 337 to 746 of the family's 1533-position model. Lineage: Bacteria; Pseudomonadati; Pseudomonadota; Alphaproteobacteria; Hyphomicrobiales; Brucellaceae. The record is from RNAcentral.